Molecule: unclassified non-coding RNA, 346 nt
Filed under: Hevea brasiliensis (rubber tree)
Lineage: Eukaryota; Viridiplantae; Streptophyta; Magnoliopsida; Malpighiales; Euphorbiaceae
Source: RNAcentral
CGGAAACAGAGGCAAAAGCUGUGGUUCAGAGUCUCUCGGUGUUCUUCUUGGUGAAGGAUGCAAAUAAAACUUCUUCUCAGCAAUAGCUUUAUCUUCUUCAGAUAGAUUCGUUAAUGGUGAUGAUUUAUUAAAUGGGUCUUCAUUCAAUGGCGUAACAGGGCUUAAAGCAAGUGAAGGAAAAUCUAGAAUACUGGGUGAGAGAAUCUCCGGUUUGUUCCGAGGAGAAAAACUCGAAUUCUGAGGAUGAAUUCCAGGAAUCAAAGGGCUAAUCAUAAACCCAUUUUUCAAACUGUUUCUCCUCUCGUAAAGCUUGAACCCAGGUUUCUUCGGUGCUGUUCGAAUUGGG